UGGGGAAUUUUCCGCAAUGGGCGAAAGCCUGACGGAGCGACGCCGCGUGGAGGACGAAAUUUUUCGGAAUGUAAACUCCUUUUGUCAGGGACGAAUCAAUGACGGUACCUGAAGAAUAAGCAUCGGCUAACUACGUGCCAGCAGCCGCGGUAAUACGUAGGAUGCAAGCGUUGUUCGGAAUUACUGGGCGUAAAGCGUAUGUAGGCGGUUAUAUAAGUCUUUUAUUAAAGACCGGGGCUCAACUUCGGGAGUGUAAAGGAAACUGUAUAACUAGAGGUCAGAAGGGGAAAUCGGAAUUCUUAGUGUAGCGGUGAAAUGCGUAGAUAUUAGGAAGAACACCGGUGGCGAAAGCGGAUUUCUGGUCUGAAACUGACGCUGAGAUACGAAGGUGUGGGGAGCA
RNAcentral lists this ribosomal RNA (400 nucleotides) under uncultured bacterium. Its description in RNAcentral is "bacterial SSU rRNA". It matches the Rfam family "Bacterial small subunit ribosomal RNA", at positions 355 to 770 of the family's 1533-position model. The record is from RNAcentral.